RNAcentral lists this long non-coding RNA (232 nucleotides) under Lathyrus oleraceus (garden pea). Its description in RNAcentral is "Pisum sativum (pea) long non-coding RNA (PSAT_LNC034787)". Lineage: Eukaryota; Viridiplantae; Streptophyta; Magnoliopsida; Fabales; Fabaceae. The record is from RNAcentral.
AACAACAGAGCCGCCACCGUGCGUUAUUUAUCCCAAAAGCGGGAAAGGGAACACUCGAAGUAAACCUGGAAAAGACAUGGUCUCGUGACCAAAGAGAGAUGCGAAGGGAAGGUAUUAGCACCCCUACGCAUCCGUCGUACUCGACGGGAUCCAUGCACAAAAGAAAGGAUAAGUUUGCUAAACACUGCUCAAACAAACUGCACACACAGGCUGAAAGGAGACACAAAAAGAC